GACGAACGCUGGCGGCGUGCUUAACACAUGCAAGUCGAACGGAAAGGCCCUGCUUUUGUGGGGUGCUCGAGUGGCGAACGGGUGAGUAACACGUGAGUAACCUGCCCUUGACUUUGGGAUAACUUCAGGAAACUGGGGCUAAUACCGGAUAGGAGCUCCUGCUGCAUGGUGGGGGUUGGAAAGUUUCGGCGGUUGGGGAUGGACUCGCGGCUUAUCAGCUUGUUGGUGGGGUAGUGGCUUACCAAGGCUUUGACGGGUAGCCGGCCUGAGGGGGUGACCGGCCACAUUGGGACUGAGAUACGGCCCAGACUCCUACGGGAGGCAGCAGUGGGGAAUAUUGCACAAUGGGCGGAAGCCUGAUGCAGCAACGCCGCGUGCGGGAGGACGGCCUUCGGGUGGUAAACCGCUUUCGCCUGUGACGAAGCGUGAGUGACGGUAAUGGGUAAAGAAGCACCGGCUAACUACGU
Molecule: ribosomal RNA, 467 nt
Filed under: uncultured bacterium
Lineage: Bacteria
Description: partial 16S ribosomal RNA
Rfam family: Bacterial small subunit ribosomal RNA
Source: RNAcentral